AUGACUUAUAAAGAAAUUACAGUGCAAACCAGGAUACCAGAUGAUGUGCAUUUAAAGAAGUCAAGAAAUGCAAUGAAGCGAGUUGGUCUGAAGACAAAGAAUGUUCAGCUGGCCAAAACUCCCAGAUACCAUGGUGACUGUCUGGAUGAUAACAAUGAAAGCCCUGAUGACAGUUAUUUAAACUCAAGCCAGCCCAACCCAGUAUUCUUAGAUACUCUUCAGGGAAAUGUGGCAAUGCAUGAGGAUGAUCAUCCCAAAAGCUCUGCUUCUUCAGGGAAGGAACCAAAGGAAACAAAAUGCAAAGUCACCAUGGAGAAAUUGUUUGAUCUGAAUACUAAGAUACUUCAACAAAUUCAAAUGCUGGAACAGAGACAAGCUGUCAUCAUGAAUGACUUGGCCAAAGUUAAGUCUGUUCUCAUGAAGCGGGCAGAAGAAGAUGCCCAUGAGGAACUUUUUAAACAACAACAGUGCUCCAGCUUUGAAAUGUUUGAAGCCUUCUGUCAGAGGCUUGAAGAAGACAAAAAUUAUCGAGAGCUUUAUGUACACUAUCUCAUCCAUACUCAUGGCAGCUCCAAUAUAGCGUCAGACAAUGUUCUCUGUCUGUAUAACAGAACGGGGAAAGAUGGGAAGAAGGUGUUUCCACCUGUGCUCCUGACAUGUUUGAAAAAAUGUGUCAGGUCUUUUCACAAACAAAAUGAAAUAGAGGUGAAGAAGCUAAAAGUAACCACUAGAACAACACCAGACAAGGAAUGUAUUCGCCAAGUAGAAUUUUUUUGUCCAACGCCAACACCAGGCUGAAAAGGAAACCAAAUAAAGGAAAAAUCUGACUUUUUGUUUGAUUGUUUUGAUUGAUGGAAAUAAAGAAUGUGGGUGUAAAAGUUUGAGUUAACUGAAUCAUUUUAGAUAUCAGUGAACUAACAGAAUUAUUACAUAUGGUGAUCUCACAGUAUGAGCACACAGUGAUCACAGUAUGAGCACACAGUGACCACAGUAUGAGCACACAGUGAUCACAGUAUGAGCACACAGUGACCACAGUAUGAGCACACAGUGACCACAGUAUGAGCACACAGUGAUCACAGUAUGAGCACACAGUGACCACAGUAUGAGCACACAGUGAUCACAGUAUGAGCACACAGUGACCACAGUAUGAGCACACAGUGACCACAGUAUGAGCACACAGUGACCACAGUAUGAGCACACAGUGACCACAGUAUGAGCACACAGUGAUCACAGUAUGAGCACACAGUGACCACAGUAUGAGCACACAGUGACCAGAGUAUGAGCACACAGUGACCACAGUAUGAGCACACAGUGACCACAGUAUGAGCACACAGUGACCAGAGUAUGAGCACACAGUGACCACAGUAUGAGCACACAGUGACCACAGUAUGAGCACACAGUGACCAGAGUAUGAGCACACAGUGACCACAGUAUGAGCACACAGUGACCACAGUAUGAGCACACAGUGACCACAGUAUGAGCACACAGUGACCACAGUAUGAGCACACAGUGAUCAGAGUAUGAGCACACAGUGACCACAGUAUGAGCACACAGUGACCACAGUAUGAGCACACAGUGACCACAGUAUGAGCACACAGUGACCAGAGUAUGAGCACACAGUGACCAGAGUAUGAGCACACAGUGAUCACAGUAUGAGCACACAGUGACCACAGUAUGAGCACACAGUGACCACAGUAUGAGCACACAGUGACCAGAGUAUGAGCACACAGUGACCACAGUAUGAGCACACAGUGACCACAGUAUGAGCACACAGUGAUCAGAGUAUGAGCACACAGUGACCACAGUAUGAGCACACAGUGAUCACAGUAUGAGCACACAGUGACCAG
Molecule: long non-coding RNA, 1847 nt
Organism: Carassius auratus (goldfish)
Lineage: Eukaryota; Metazoa; Chordata; Actinopteri; Cypriniformes; Cyprinidae
Source: Ensembl